RNAcentral lists this unclassified non-coding RNA (4046 nucleotides) under Leishmania donovani. RNAcentral describes it as "gene:LdHU3.33.3770(CDS-product:UDP-N-acetylglucos amine_pyrophosphorylase_putative)". The record is from RNAcentral. Lineage: Eukaryota; Euglenozoa; Kinetoplastea; Trypanosomatida; Trypanosomatidae.
UCUCUCUUCAUCCACGCCCUCUUGCGCAUUUUUUUGCGUGUUCUGUGCCGUUUCCCCUGACGCCGUUUUUGCACGGCACACGGUGUUACACUUGCGUACCCGACCACUGCGCCACGCAGGUUCCUUCACCCCUGGCAAACUUAGUCACGCUUUCCCCACACUCAGACACGACGUACACGGAUACCGACAGUACGUUUUCAUUCUUCUUUUUGGCCAUCUGCUGUCUGCGCACUAUCGGUCGCUUGUCUACAGAAUUUUCUGAAGACCAAGCCCUCAUUGUUUUUCUCUCUCCCUCUCCCUCUCACGCUUUCGUGUCUUCGCGGCUCCCCCUCAGGCGACGGCCGCCGGCUGCCGAAGUUCGCAUUCAGUCGUCAACCCUUCUGCACCCCUCCACCUCUCUGCUGCCCUUCGAGCUGGGGGGGGGCUGGCAUUCUUUUCGCCAUUGUUCUCACGCUCCUUCAGUUGACCGCACUGCAGCCGUUGGAGCUCCCGCAGCAUCGCAAAAAAAAACGAAAGGGUAACAGCUGCGCAACUGCUCGCUGACCACGUUGCCCCGUACGUCUGUGUCUGCGUCCCACAUUUCGGCGUGCAGCUUCGACGGAGAAGCUGGGGCAUGCCCUCGAAGGCCGCACUGCUGACUGUCUUGGCGGGGAGUGGCCAGGAGCAUCUCGUUGACGACUACGACGCGCUUUCGCCAUCAGAGCAGACGACACUGGCGACUCAAAUUCUGUCGUACACGAAUGCGCAGUGGAAGCACAUGAACGUGAUUCUGCGAGACAGCCUGCGCCACCUGAAUUCGAGCAACGCCGCGGCAGGUACAGGAGGGGGCAACGCUGCGAAGGCUGCCUCACAGAUUACGCCUCCUCCGGCGGACACGAUCAUCAAUGUUCCUGCUCUCCUCGCCAAGAGGCCCAGCGAGCUGGCAGCUAUCCGAGCCGCUGGCAUGCGCGUGGUCGCGAACGGUGAGGGGGCGGUGCUGCUGAUGGCGGGCGGAAGCGGCACCCGUCUUGGCAUGACCAUCCCAAAAGGUAUGCUCGAGUGCGACAAGCUCGUCAGCGGACGCUCGCUCUUUGCGUACCACUGCCAGCGCAUCCGCAAGAUGGAGAGGAUGGCCGCUGCCGCUGCCGCAUCGCCAUCGCAGUCGUCUGCUGUAGCUGCAGCAGGUGGUGCGUCCGUGCCAGUGGGCGCCGGCCGUGGGACAAUGCCGCUGCUGGUCACGACGUCAGACCAGAAUGACACCGUGACGCGGCAGUUUUUUCACGAACAUAACUUCUUUGGGCUGCUUCCCGAUCAGGUGUUCUUUUCUCGUCAAUGCUCACUCCCGUGCUACGACGAGGCGUCGGGGCGAGUGCUGAUGGAGGCGAGAGGCAGUAUUUGCCUCGCACCGGGCGGUAACGCCGGCGUCUACGAGAGUUUGGCCAAGGCGUCCGCCACAACGUCUGGCAGCCAGAGCGUGCUGGCGCAAAUCGAAGCACGGGGCGUGCGCUAUGUUCAAAUCGUGAGUGUGGACAACAUCCUCGCCAGGGUGGGUGAUCCGUACUUCUUCGGCGUGGCCGCAUCAUGCCAGGCUGAGGUAGUCCUCAAGACGGUGCCAAAGGUGUCAGCGGCCGAGAAAGUCGGUGUCGUGGCGCAGGUGGACGGCGAAUGGGCCGUCGUCGAGUACACGGAGAUUGGGGAUAGACGUUCCGCCGAAAAAGAUCCGGCAACGGGCGAGCUUGCUUUCAACUGCGGCAACAUCGCUUCCCACUGCUGCUCCCUUGAUUUUCUGGCGUUUGCUGCCACGUACAUGGAGACGAGCACCUUUUACCACGCAGCCCGCAAGACGAUUCCGACCAUUAACGGCCCCGCCCCCGCGAUCAAGCUUGAGGCGUUUAUCUUUGACGUCUUCCGCUACGCGAAGGACGUACCGAGUCGGGCGGAGCGAGCCAAGAAGGCGCCGCUGCCGGACGCAUUGCAGAUUCUGCAGGUGGACCGCAGCAUGGAGUUUGCGCCGAUUAAGAACGCUGAUGGCGCUGCCGCGGACACGCCAAUGACCGCCGCUCAGCUGCUCUUGGACCUGCACACCAAAUGGGUGGCCGAGGCUAUCGAAGCGGCUCCGGGGACCUGUGCAGCGGCUUCAAUCAGCACGCCGGGAAUGUACACGACACAGGAGCGCGCGACGGCGCUCCAGCGACUACGUGACGGGCAGUGUUGCUGGGAAAUCUCUCCUCUCGUCUCGUAUGAGGGCGAGGGGCUCGCGGCAUACGUAGGGCAGUUGAUUCACCGAUCUGCCACUGGCAUCGGUGUCUUAGGCCUGGAAGAGACAACAGCGGGCACGGCGAGCAUAUGACAGCGAAAUCGAGACGAAAGGGGACAACGAGACGUGCUGGUUUCUUUUGCAGACGACUACAGGUGCACCACAGGACCCCGCUUUGUGCCUCUCGGUGGAUCCUCUGAGCUCAUCUUCGGCCCUCUUUUGCGUGCAGGCUUCCAGAUCGUCGUCCCCACUUUUCUCCUCAAGGCAGGCGCUCCCACCACUGAUGAACGCGCGCACGUACGUCGUUAACUUAAUUUGCAACCGCUUCGCUUUCUCUUCUCUUCAUGGCGACAAGGGCGUGCGUGCGUUCGACCUUCUGCACAGCCCCGUUUUCGCUGUUCUCUCCCCUGUGAGCGUGCGUGUUGAGUCUGUGCCUUCUUUUUCGCUUUAGGGGGGGGGGCUGCGGAUUCCACCUUUGUGUGACGGACUUCCCCCCUCCUCAUGGCCCCUCAGCACGGGUCCUACAGAGGUGGGAGAUGCCGUAUGACGAUGUACCUGGGUACAGGUGCUGUCUGUUGCACACCACGCUGUUAAUGUGGUACUCUACACCACUGUCCGUGCCGGCUUGUGCUGUAAGGGCGCCCGACUCGGCGCUAUGCCUGGUGUGCUACGCGCGAUGUGCGGAUCGCUCGACGCUCACAUCACGCCCCGUCUCCCUCUGUGGCCGUGCACGCAGUGACCUGUUUACGCACAUCUCCCUUGAGCGACAUGGCCUUUCCCCGCCGGCUGACCAUCGCUGCCCCCUAUGCCCCUUCACAAGGACAAGCUGCGGGCUCUUUGUGCGCCGGCACAUGCGUCUCCGCGGGGCCCCUUCCGCUUGACACACCGACUCCUGCCCAGGGGCGUGCGGGCUGAGGAGAGGGCGGAGUGCCCCUGCCGCCACAGACUCAUGGCAUCGCUCCACCUGUCGCUGCGCGUGCGGGCACGACUCCGCGACAGCGACACCGUGCUUAAGCAGACCCCGCCAUGCCACAAGGCGAGCACGGUGCGCACGCGCUGUCAAGCAGAGCUGGCAUGGCGCAUCGCACCCAGGCAAGGCAUCAAGAGGGGCGCAGAGCAGGAUUGCCCCACGGGCAAGACGUGGAGCGAUGCACACGAAUCAGCUCCAUAGUGCAUGCGCGCGAAGCAUGCAGCAUCUCCUGCAUCUGACCGGUGCGGGCUGAUGAGGCGCAGAUGCCAAAGGCAUCGUGAAGGCACCCUCGAGCUCCACCACCGGGUCCUCCAGACUCCCACGUGCAGAGCCUCCACACCAUAUUAUGGGAUGCCGCCGCUUGAAGCGACUGAGGGGACGAAGCGUGGCACACAGGCAGGGGGGGCGUAGGACCUCGGGGGGGGCCUGACCCUGAGGCUGGCGGACUUCGUCCCUGCGCUCAUCCGGCAUGCGCCUUGGCCACCCCCCGUUGCCCGCACGGCAGACGCUACUGCCUCGGCUCUAGACGACGACCCUGGAUGUCGCUCGCUUUAGAUGAGGGCAUGCAACCCACACGCGUCUCCAUGUGGAGCCGAUCGCGCCGCACGCAUGCAGGGAAGGGACGAGGAAGGAGAGGGAGGCCCCGCUAGGCGCACGGCUUCGAUUCGACGGCAGACGACGAGGGAGGCAGCCUGCAGCGCAGCAGGCGCAGGUGCACUGUGGCUGUGUAAUGCGCACGUUUUGUUGGCUUGUUUGUCGGCGAAUGUGGACAAUUUGACGAGACGAAAAAUAAAUGACGUGUAUGCGUAUGAUUGAAGCUGGAAUCGCUUCCGCCGUCAG